This 460-nucleotide ribosomal RNA is filed under the name uncultured bacterium. Its description in RNAcentral is "partial 16S ribosomal RNA". It matches the Rfam family "Bacterial small subunit ribosomal RNA", at positions 338 to 795 of the family's 1533-position model. The record is from RNAcentral.
CCUACGGGCGGCAGCAGUGAGGAAUAUUGGUCAAUGGACGAGAGUCUGAACCAGCCAAGUAGCGUGAAGGAUGACUGCCCUAUGGGUUGUAAACUUCUUUUAUAUGGGAAUAAAAUGUUCCACGUGUGGGAUUUUGUAUGUACCAUAUGAAUAAGGAUCGGCUAACUCCGUGCCAGCAGCCGCGGUAAUACGGAGGAUUCGAUCGUUAUCCGGAUUUAUUGGGUUUAAAGGGAGCGUAGGUGGAUUGUUAAGUCAGUUGUGAAAGUUUGCGGCUCAACCGUAAAAUUGCAGUUGAAACUGGCAGUCUUGAGUACAGUAGAGGUGGGCGGAAUUCGUGGUGUAGCGGUGAAAUGCUUAGAUAUCACGAAGAACUCCGAUUGCGAAGGCAGUUCACUGGACUGCAACUGACACUGAGGCUCGAAAGUGUGGGUAUCAAACAGGAUUAGAUACCCUUGUAGUC